RNAcentral lists this ribosomal RNA (492 nucleotides) under uncultured bacterium. RNAcentral describes it as "partial 16S ribosomal RNA". It matches the Rfam family "Bacterial small subunit ribosomal RNA", at positions 29 to 507 of the family's 1533-position model. The record is from RNAcentral.
AGUGAACGCUGGCGGUAGGCCUAACACAUGCAAGUCGAACGGCAGCACAGUAAGAGCUUGCUCUUACGGGUGGCGAGUGGCGGACAGGUGAGGAAUACAUCGGAAUCUACUUUUUCGUGGGGGAUAACGUAGGGAAACUUACGCUAAUACCGCAUACGACCUACGGGUGAAAGCAGGGGAUCUUCGGACCUUGCGCGAUUGAAUGAGCCGAUGUCGGAUUAGCUAGUUGGCGGGGUAAAGGCCCACCAAGGCGACGAUCCGUAGCUGGUCUGAGAGGAUGAUCAGCCACACUGGCACUGAGGCACGGUCCAGACUCCUACGGGAGGCAGCAGUGGGGAAUAUUGGACAAUGGGCGCAAGCCUGAUCCAGCCAUACCGCGUGAGUGAAGAAGGCCUUCGGGUUGUAAAGCCCUUUUGUUGGUAAAGAAAAGCAGCAGGUUAAUCCCCCGCUGUUCUGACGGUACCCAAAGAAUAAGCACCGGCUAACUUCGUG